CCUGCCCAAGAGAUCGGGAUAACACCUGGAAACAGAUGCUAAUACCGGAUAAUAACAGAUGAUGCCUAUCAACUGUUUAAAAGAUGGUUCUGCUAUCACUCUUGGAUGGACCUGCGGUGCAUUAGCUAGUUGGUAGGGUAACGGCCUACCAAGGCGAUGAUGCAUAGCCGAGUUGAGAGACUGAUCGGCCACAUUGGGACUGAGACACGGCCCAAACUCCUACGGGAGCAGCAGCG
This 236-nucleotide ribosomal RNA is filed under the name uncultured Lactobacillus sp. Its description in RNAcentral is "partial 16S ribosomal RNA". It matches the Rfam family "Bacterial small subunit ribosomal RNA", at positions 125 to 356 of the family's 1533-position model. Lineage: Bacteria; Bacillati; Bacillota; Bacilli; Lactobacillales; Lactobacillaceae. The record is from RNAcentral.